This 253-nucleotide ribosomal RNA is filed under the name uncultured bacterium. RNAcentral's name for it is "partial 16S ribosomal RNA". It matches the Rfam family "Bacterial small subunit ribosomal RNA", at positions 524 to 776 of the family's 1533-position model. The record is from RNAcentral.
UACGUAGGUGGCAAGCGUUAUCCGGAUUCAUUGGGCGUAAAGGGAACGCAGGCGGUCUUUUAAGUCUGAUGUGAAAGCCUUCGGCUUAACCGGAGUAGUGCAUUGGAAACUGGGAGACUUGAGUGCAGAAGAGGAGAGUGGAACUCCAUGUGUAGCGGUGAAAUGCGUAGAUAUAUGGAAGAACACCAGUGGCGAAAGCGGCUCUCUGGUCUGUAACUGACGCUGAGGUUCGAAAGCGUGGGUAGCAAACAGG